RNA transcript from Bombus pyrosoma, 1396 nucleotides. RefSeq lists it as uncharacterized. The record is from RefSeq and is a predicted model, not a curated record. The transcript is spliced from 3 exons. NCBI's taxonomy places the organism in Eukaryota, Metazoa, Arthropoda, Insecta, Hymenoptera, Apidae.
AAAUUUUUGUUCCAAUUUAAUUUAAUAUAAAUGAUACAAUUUUUAUGAUUAGAUUUAAAUCAUUUUCUAUUUUAAUCAGUUAUGGUUGAUAUCAUGUAUUCCUUAUCCUCAUUAUCAAUGUUAUUGUAUCAAGUAACUUUAAAAGAAGGGAAUGAAACAUAACCUAGAAAGUAUUACGUGAAUAUGAGAUAGGAAGUAUAUAUAACAAGCUAUAUCUAUGAUGUUCUCCACUUUCUUAUCUCUGCGUAAGACAUGAUAAAAUGAGGUAUUAGAACAUAAAAUGAAUUGUUAAGGAUUCAUGUAUAAUUAGUGGAAAUAAUUAGAUGAAUGUAGAAAUAUCAAAUGUAAUUAGGUAGAUAAUAAAAUGGAGCAAAAUGUGAUAAUAAUAAAUGCUCAAAAUGGAUAAAUAAGAAGAAAAGAAGUAAAACCUUGGUUCAAUGAACAAAAUAUAUACAUAAAUCAAGGUCAACCAUUAUCCCAUCUUAUUAAUUAUCUUAUAACAAAUAUCAAAACAACAUAGGUCUAGAAAAUUUUUUAGGUAAUACAUCUACAAAUAUUCAGUAGUGAAAGGAUACAUAAUUAUAUGGGUUUAGUUCCAAUAUCUGUUUAUCAACAUGAUGCAAUACCUUCAACGAAUAACUCAUUCAGAAGUAGUAAAUAACAAUAUUUAUUGUGCUUAUCAUUUUCUUAUGCAAUGAUUUAUGAACUCCUACUUCUGUUACCAUAUUAGAUCUGCCACUAAACACUGAAUUAUUCAACCUAUUACGUCAAACAGAAUUAGAUGUAGAAGAGUAUGUACUGUCUAAACAGGUGAAACAACCGGAAACUGUAAAAGAAUAUAGAAAAACUUUAAAACGUACAAAACAUUCUGAGCUAUGGAUUCUAUUCUGAGCUAUUCAUAUCAUCAUUUAUUAGCAUUUAGCAUUUAUGUCAUCUGAAAAAUUUGUGCGUUACGUUAUGGAUAAAAAAAGGAAGUCUCCUAGUGGAGUUGUGGAACCAGACCAAAGAGGACAACUUAUAUCAAAAACAAAAAAAAGUGAAAAUGUUAAGGACAGGGUAUGCAAACAUAUCAAAUCGUCUCCAAUAGAAAAAUCAACAGGUCCAAUGGAUUAUACAGGAAAGAAAUAUCUAGAUUCUAUGCUAAGUAUAGCUGCUAUGCAUAAACUUUAUGUACUAAAGUGGAAAGAAGAAGGUAUUCCAGAAAGCGACAUAGUUAAAAAAAGCUAUUAUAGAGAAAUGUUCAAAUCAGAAUUUAAUCUUGGUUUUAAACAAGUGCAGUUUAAAGUGAAUGUUUGACUACCAAAUAUUAAUAACCACUAAAUUAGAGAUUAGUAACAUGCCCUUUUAAUAUUAUUAGUACAAAGAAUAACAUAUUUUAUAUAAAUAUAUUAAAGAA